AGGUUAUAAGCGAAUGGCGGAUGCCUUGGGAUAUUAAAGUGAUGAAGGACGUGGCGUGCCUGCGAUAAGCGUCGGGGAGCUGGCUAGCAAGCUUUGAUCCGGCGAUGUCCGAAUGAGGAAACUCUAUUGCGGUAAUACGCAAUAAUCUUGGCAGUAAUGCCAAGAAGCUAACCCGCUGAAGUGAAACAUCUCAGUAAGCGGAGGAAAAGAAAACAACGCGCCAUCCUACAGGAUGGCGAACAAUUGACAAUUGACAGGUGACAAUUGACCAACGAUGAAAAAUUUUUGUGAAACAAAAAUUUUUCAUUAAGUCAAAUGUUAAAUGUUAAAGGUUACAUGUUCGCCACCCCGUAGGGUGGCGCACAUUCCCUUAGUAGUGGCGAGCGAAGAGGGAAGAGUCUAAACAGAAUCUUUAAAAAGAUUCUGGGUUGUAAGGGUUUAACGUCGGGGGCAUUAUUUAUUUUUCGUAUAGUCGAAAAAUAAAUAGUGACUGCCGAGGGAGAGCAUCUAGGUGAUUUAUUAAAAGAAGCACCCUGGAAAGGGGCGCCAUAGAGGGUAAUAGCCCCGUAUUCUAAAAUAAUUUCACGCUCCUUGUUAGAUUUCUUGAGUACUGUCGGGCAUGAUAACCUGGCAGGAAGCAGGCCGAACUAUCGGCCAAGACUAAAUAUUUAAUAUCACCAAUAGUGAACCAGUACCGUGAGGGAAAGGUGAAAAGUAGGGGGUUGACCCCGGUGAAAUAGAACCUGAAACCAUUUG
This 756-nucleotide ribosomal RNA is filed under the name Candidatus Staskawiczbacteria bacterium RIFCSPLOWO2_02_FULL_39_8. Its description in RNAcentral is "bacterial LSU rRNA". It matches the Rfam family "Bacterial large subunit ribosomal RNA", at positions 1 to 562 of the family's 2925-position model. The record is from RNAcentral. Lineage: Bacteria; Candidatus Staskawicziibacteriota.